Molecule: ribosomal RNA, 2003 nt
Filed under: Campylobacter jejuni
Lineage: Bacteria; Pseudomonadati; Campylobacterota; Epsilonproteobacteria; Campylobacterales; Campylobacteraceae
Description: partial 23S ribosomal RNA
Rfam family: Bacterial large subunit ribosomal RNA
Source: RNAcentral
AAAAAAGGUAAGCUACUAAGAGCGAAUGGUGGAUGCCUUGACUGGUAAAGGCGAUGAAGGACGUACUAGACUGCGAUAAGCUACGGGGAGCUGUCAAGAAGCUUUGAUCCGUAGAUUUCCGAAUGGGGCAACCCAAUGUAUAGAGAUAUACAUUACCUAUAUAGGAGCGAACGAGGGGAAUUGAAACAUCUUAGUACCCUCAGGAAAAGAAAUCAAUAGAGAUUGCGUCAGUAGCGGCGAGCGAAAGCGCAAGAGGGCAAACCCAGUGCUUGCACUGGGGGUUGUAGGACUGCAAUGUGCAAGAGCUGAGUUUAGCAGAACAUUCUGGAAAGUAUAGCCAUAGAGGGUGAUAGUCCCGUAUGCGAAAAACAAAGCUUAGCUAGCAGUAUCCUGAGUAGGGCGGGACACGAGGAAUCCUGUCUGAAUCCGGGUCGACCACGAUCCAACCCUAAAUACUAAUACCAGAUCGAUAGUGCACAAGUACCGUGAGGGAAAGGUGAAAAGAACUGAGGUGAUCAGAGUGAAAUAGAACCUGAAACCAUUUGCUUACAAUCAUUCAGAGCACUAUGUAGCAAUACAGUGUGAUGGACUGCCUUUUGCAUAAUGAGCCUGCGAGUUGUGGUGUCUGGCAAGGUUAAGCAAACGCGAAGCCGUAGCGAAAGCGAGUCUGAAUAGGGCGCUUAGUCAGAUGCUGCAGACCCGAAACGAAGUGAUCUAUCCAUGAGCAAGUUGAAGCUAGUGUAAGAACUAGUGGAGGACUGAACCCAUAGGCGUUGAAAAGCCCCGGGAUGACUUGUGGAUAGGGGUGAAAGGCCAAUCAAACUUCGUGAUAGCUGGUUCUCUCCGAAAUAUAUUUAGGUAUAGCGUUGUGUCGUAAUAUAAGGGGGUAGAGCACUGAAUGGGCUAGGGCAUACACCAAUGUACCAAACCCUAUCAAACUCCGAAUACCUUAUAUGUAAUCACAGCAGUCAGGCGGCGAGUGAUAAAAUCCGUCGUCAAGAGGGAAACAACCCAGACUACCAGCUAAGGUCCCUAAAUCUUACUUAAGUGGAAAACGAUGUGAAGUUACUUAAACAACCAGGAGGUUGGCUUAGAAGCAGCCAUCCUUUAAAGAAAGCGUAAUAGCUCACUGGUCUAGUGAUUUUGCGCGGAAAAUAUAACGGGGCUAAAGUAAGUACCGAAGCUGUAGACUUGCGCACAACUUAGAUUAUUUAAGUUUAGAAUAUGAGAAACUAAGUUAUAUUUUUACUGAUUUUUAUAGAGUAAAGAUAGAAAUAAAACUUAGUAAAAUCAGUAAAAAUAUUCUUAGGCUAAAGUUAAGUAGUUUAAGUUGUGUGCAAGUGGUAGGAGAGCGUUCUAUUUGCGUCGAAGGUAUACCGGUAAGGAGUGCUGGAGCGAAUAGAAGUGAGCAUGCAGGCAUGAGUAGCGAUAAUUAAUGUGAGAAUCAUUAACGCCGUAAACCCAAGGUUUCCUACGCGAUGCUCGUCAUCGUAGGGUUAGUCGGGUCCUAAGUCGAGUCCGAAAGGGGUAGACGAUGGCAAAUUGGUUAAUAUUCCAAUACCAACAUUAGUGUGCGAUGGAAGGACGCUUAGGGCUAAGGGGGCUAGCGGAUGGAAGUGCUAGUCUAAGGUCGUAGGAGGUUAUACAGGCAAAUCCGUAUAACAAUACUCCGAGAACUGAAAGGCUUUUUGAAGUCUUCGGAUGGAUAGAAGAACCCCUGAUGCCGUCGAGCCAAGAAAAGUUUCUAAGUUUAGCUAAUGUUGCCCGUACCGUAAACCGACACAGGUGGGUGGGAUGAGUAUUCUAAGGCGCGUGGAAGAACUCUCUUUAAGGAACUCUGCAAAAUAGCACCGUAUCUUCGGUAUAAGGUGUGGUUAGCUUCGUACUAGGAUUUACUCCGAAAGCGAAGAAACUUACAACAAAGAGUCCCUCCCGACUGUUUACCAAAAACACAGCACUCUGCUAACUCGUAAGAGGAUGUAUAGGGUGUGACGCCUGCCCGG